AACGAACGCUGGCGGCAUACCUAACACAUGCAAGUCGAACGAGACCUUCGGGUCUAGUGGCGCACGGGUGCGUAACGCGUGGGAACCUGCCUUUAGGUUCGGAAUAACUCAGAGAAAUUUGAGCUAAUACCGGAUGAUGUCUUCGGACCAAAGAUUUAUCGCCUUUAGAUGGGCCCGCGUUGGAUUAGCUAGUUGGUGGGGUAAAGGCCUACCAAGGCGACGAUCCAUAGCUGGUCUGAGAGGAUGAUCAGCCACACUGGGACUGAGACACGGCCCAGACUCCUACGGGAGGCAGCAGUGGGGAAUAUUGGACAAUGGGCGAAAGCCUGAUCCAGCAAUGCCGCGUGAGUGAUGAAGGCCUUAGGGUUGUAAAGCUCUUUUAACCGAGAUGAUAAUGACAGUAUCGGGAGAAUAAGCUCCGGCUAACUCCGUG
This 433-nucleotide ribosomal RNA is filed under the name uncultured bacterium. Its description in RNAcentral is "partial 16S ribosomal RNA". It matches the Rfam family "Bacterial small subunit ribosomal RNA", at positions 29 to 507 of the family's 1533-position model. The record is from RNAcentral.